Molecule: long non-coding RNA, 505 nt
Filed under: Homo sapiens (human)
Lineage: Eukaryota; Metazoa; Chordata; Mammalia; Primates; Hominidae
Description: non-protein coding lnc-VEPH1-2:2
Source: RNAcentral
AGAAUGUGGUUCAAAAUCGAUCACGAGCCUAAGUGCCCUCUUAACGAAAAGUACAGUUUUCAACCAAAUGCAGAACUCCUGUAAGAUUGAGUUUGACUCUGGAACCAAAAUUAAGAUGAGUUAAACAACAAAAAGUAUAGUACUAGCAUAGCUGGUAGACUUACGGCAUAGAGAUGUCUUCUCUAAUUUUACUAAAGGUUGUCCCAAUUGUGUUCUAAAUUUUAUUCUUCAAAGUGAGUUUAAUCUAACAAUGGCUUUUGUGGCUCAUGGGUUCUUUCAGAUUGUUGCUAUGGCUUGUAUUAAUCUUGCAUCAAAAAUCGAAGAAGCACCUAGAAGAAUAAGAGAUGUGAUUAAUGUAUUCCACCACCUCCGCCAGUUAAGAGGAAAAAGGACUCCAAGCCCCCUGAUCCUUGAUCAGAACUACAUUAACACCAAAAAUCAAGUUAUCAAAGCAGAGAGGAGGGUGCUAAAGGAGUUGGGAUUUUGUGUUCAUGUCAAGCAUCCU